Molecule: non-coding RNA, 71 nt
Organism: Podarcis lilfordi (Lilford's wall lizard)
Lineage: Eukaryota; Metazoa; Chordata; Lepidosauria; Squamata; Lacertidae
Source: the annotation of a GenBank genome assembly
GGACUUUAGCUCGGUGGCAGAGCAGAUGUUUUGCAUGCAAAAGAUCCCAGGUUCAAUCCCUGGCAUCUCCA